GAUGAACGCUGGCGGCGUGCUUAACACAUGCAAGUCGAACGAUGAAGCCCAGCUUGCUGGGUUGAUUAGUGGCGAACGGGUGAGUAACACGUGAGUAACCUGCCCUUAACUCUGGGAUAAGCCUGGGAAACUGGGUCUAAUACCGGAUAGGAGCGUCCACCGCAUGGUGGGUGUUGGAAAGAUUUAUCGGUUUUGGAUGGACUCGCGGCCUAUCAGCUUGUUGGUGAGGUAAUGGCUCACCAAGGCGACGACGGGUAGCCGGCCUGAGAGGGUGACCGGCCACACUGGGACUGAGACACGGCCCAGACUCCUACGGGAGGCAGCAGUGGGGAAUAUUGCACGAUGGGCGCAAGCCUGAUGCAGCGACGCCGCGUGAGGGAUGACGGCCUUCGGGUUGUAAACCUCUUUCAGUAGGGAAGAAGCGAAAGUGACGGUACCUGCAGAAGAAGCACCGGCUAACUACGUG
Molecule: ribosomal RNA, 466 nt
Filed under: uncultured bacterium
Lineage: Bacteria
Description: partial 16S ribosomal RNA
Rfam family: Bacterial small subunit ribosomal RNA
Source: RNAcentral